This 253-nucleotide ribosomal RNA is filed under the name uncultured bacterium. RNAcentral describes it as "partial 16S ribosomal RNA". It matches the Rfam family "Bacterial small subunit ribosomal RNA", at positions 524 to 776 of the family's 1533-position model. The record is from RNAcentral.
UACGUAGGGUGCUAGCGUUGUUCGGAUUUACUGGGCGUAAAGCGCACGUAGGCGGAUUGUUAAGUCGGGGGUGAAAUCCUGGAGCUCAACUCCAGAACUGCCUUCGAUACUGGCAAUCUCGAGUCCGGAAGAGGUAAGUGGAACUCCUAGUGUAGAGGUGGAAUUCGUAGAUAUUAGGAAGAACACCAGUGGCGAAGGCGGCUUACUGGUCCGGUACUGACGCUGAGGUGCGAAAGCGUGGGGAGCAAACAGG